RNAcentral lists this ribosomal RNA (269 nucleotides) under uncultured prokaryote. RNAcentral describes it as "partial 16S ribosomal RNA". It matches the Rfam family "Bacterial small subunit ribosomal RNA", at positions 524 to 792 of the family's 1533-position model. The record is from RNAcentral.
UACGGAGGGGGCAAGCGUUGUUCGGAAUUAUUGGGCGUAAAGGGCGCGUAGGCGGCUUUGCAAGUCGGAGGUGAAAUCCCUCGGCUCAACCGAGGAACUGCCUCCGAAACUGCAGAGCUUGAGUCCCGGAGAGGAUAGCGGAAUUCCCAGUGUAGCGGUGAAAUGCGUAGAUAUUGGGAGGAACACCAGUGGCGAAGGCGGCUAUCUGGACGGGUACUGACGCUGAGGCGCGAAAGCGUGGGGAGCAAACAGGAUUAGAUACCCCCGUA